This 253-nucleotide ribosomal RNA is filed under the name uncultured bacterium. RNAcentral's name for it is "partial 16S ribosomal RNA". It matches the Rfam family "Bacterial small subunit ribosomal RNA", at positions 524 to 776 of the family's 1533-position model. The record is from RNAcentral.
UACGGAGGGGGCUAGCGUUGUUCGGAAUUACUGGGCGUAAAGCGCACGUAGGCGGACUGGAAAGUCAGAGGUGAAAUCCCAGGGCUCAAUCUUGGAACUGCCUUUGAAACUCCCGGUCUUGAGGUCGAGAGAGGUGAGUGUAAUUCCGAGUGUAGAGGUGAAAUUCGUAGAUAUUCGUAGGAACACCAGUGGCGAAGGCGGCUCACUGGCUCGAUACUGACGUUGAGGUGCGAAAGCGUGGGGAGCAAUCAGG